This 753-nucleotide ribosomal RNA is filed under the name uncultured bacterium. RNAcentral's name for it is "bacterial SSU rRNA". It matches the Rfam family "Bacterial small subunit ribosomal RNA", at positions 8 to 796 of the family's 1533-position model. The record is from RNAcentral.
AGAGUUUGAUCAUGGCUCAGAACGAACGUUGGCGGCGUGGAUUAGGCAUGCAAGUCGGGGGAAUCCCAGCAAUGGGGGAACCGGCGUAAGGGGCAGUAAGGCAUGGGUACCUACCCCAGGGUUCGGGAUAGCCAUCAGAGAUGGUGGGUAAUACCGGAUGAUGUCGUGAGACCAAAGAUUUAUCGCCCUGGGAGGGGCCCAUGUGAUAUUAGCUUGUUGGUGAGGUAAUGGCUCACCAAGGCAAAGAUGUCUAGCGGGUGUGAGAGCACGACCCGCGCCACUCGCACUGAGACACUGGCGAGACACCUACGGGUGGCUGCAGUCGAGGAUCUUCGGCAAUGAGCGCAAGCUUGACCGAGCGACGCCGCGUGUGCGAUGAAGGCCUUCGGGUUGUAAAGCACUGUCGAGGGGGAGAAAAGGGAAACCUUGAUCUAUCCCUGGAGGAAGCACGGGCUAAGUUCGUGCCAGCAGCCGCGGUAAGACGAACCGUGCGAACGUUGUUCGGAAUCACUGGGCUUAAAGGGCGCGUAGGCGGGCUGUCAAGUCUGGGGUGAAAUCCCGCGGCUCAACCGUGGAACUGCCUUAGAUACUGACGGCCUUGAGGGAGGUAGGGGCGAGCGGAACUGUGAGUGGAGCGGUGAAAUGCGUUGAUAUUCACAGGAACUCCGGUGGCGAAGGCGGCUCGCUGGCCCUCUUCUGACGCUGAGGCGCGAAAGCUAGGGGAGCAAACGGGAUUAGAUACCCCAGUAGUCC